RNAcentral lists this ribosomal RNA (253 nucleotides) under uncultured bacterium. RNAcentral's name for it is "partial 16S ribosomal RNA". It matches the Rfam family "Bacterial small subunit ribosomal RNA", at positions 524 to 776 of the family's 1533-position model. The record is from RNAcentral.
UACGGGGGGGGCAAGCGUUGUUCGGAAUUACUGGGCGUAAAGGGCUCGUAGGUGGCCAACUAAGUCAGACGUGAAAUCCCUCGGCUCAACUGAGGAACUGCCUUUGAAACUGUACGGCUUGAGGCCGGGAGGGGGUAGCGGAAUUCCCAGUGUAGCGGUGAAAUGCGUAGAUACUGGGAGGAACACCAGUGGCGAAGGCGGCUACCUGGACCGGUUCUGACGCUGAGGCGCGAAAGCGUGGGUAGCAAACAGG